RNAcentral lists this transfer RNA (76 nucleotides) under Staphylococcus pseudintermedius. RNAcentral describes it as "tRNA-Ala". It matches the Rfam family "tRNA". From Rfam's summary of the family: Transfer RNA (tRNA) molecules are approximately 80 nucleotides in length. Their secondary structure includes four short double-helical elements and three loops (D, anti-codon, and T loops). Lineage: Bacteria; Bacillati; Bacillota; Bacilli; Caryophanales; Staphylococcaceae. The record is from RNAcentral.
GGGGGGUUAGCUCAGCUGGGAGAGCGCCUGCUUUGCACGCAGGAGGUCAGCGGUUCGAUCCCGCUAGUCUCCACCA